CCGAUUCAAACUUAACAUUUUUACGGUGUGGAUCGGCGUAUUUCUUCUGCCUAUCUUGAGCUGCUACCAGUCUUGUUCGGAUCACUUUGACUAUUUCUGAUGUCUGCUGCACUAAUUCUGGACCUAGUAAUUGUCUCUCGCCAAAUUCAUCCCAGUUUAGCGGAGUUCUGCACUUUCUAUCGUAUAACGCUUCAUAAGGCGGCAUGCCAAUACAAG
Molecule: long non-coding RNA, 216 nt
Filed under: Panax ginseng (ginseng)
Lineage: Eukaryota; Viridiplantae; Streptophyta; Magnoliopsida; Apiales; Araliaceae
Description: long non-coding RNA (PGIN_LNC000633)
Source: RNAcentral